GAGUUUGAUCCUGGCUCAGGACGAACGCUGGCGGCGUGCUUAACACAUGCAAGUCGAACGAUGAACCGGUUUCGGCCGGGGAUUAGUGGCGAACGGGUGAGUAACACGUGGGCAAUCUGCCCUGCACUCUGGGACAAGCCCUGGAAACGGGGUCUAAUACCGGAUAUGACCACCGGCCGCAUGGUCUGGUGGUGGAAAGCUCCGGCGGUGCAGGAUGAGCCCGCGGCCUAUCAGCUUGUUGGUGGGGUGAUGGCCUACCAAGGCGACGACGGGUAGCCGGCCUGAGAGGGCGACCGGCCACACUGGGACUGAGACACGGCCCAGACUCCUACGGGAGGCAGCAGUGGGGAAUAUUGCACAAUGGGCGCAAGCCUGAUGCAGCGACGCCGCGUGAGGGAUGACGGCCUUCGGGUUGUAAACCUCUUUCAGCAGGGAAGAAGCGCRAGUGACGGUACCUGCAGAAGAAGCACCGGCUAACUACGUGCCAGCAGCCGCGGUA
This 499-nucleotide ribosomal RNA is filed under the name Streptomyces sp. BAMY 11. RNAcentral's name for it is "bacterial SSU rRNA". It matches the Rfam family "Bacterial small subunit ribosomal RNA", at positions 9 to 522 of the family's 1533-position model. The record is from RNAcentral. Lineage: Bacteria; Bacillati; Actinomycetota; Actinomycetes; Kitasatosporales; Streptomycetaceae.